Long non-coding RNA from Rosa rugosa (rugosa rose), 816 nucleotides. RefSeq lists it as uncharacterized. The record is from RefSeq and is a predicted model, not a curated record. Lineage: Eukaryota; Viridiplantae; Streptophyta; Magnoliopsida; Rosales; Rosaceae. The transcript is spliced from 6 exons.
GCCUCUUUACAUGCACUCACCCGCGCAGCAUAGUUUCGCACUCAACAGUACUUGAAUAAGCAUAAUUGCUAGGUUGAGUCUUUUGAAAAAGGUGACGUGUUAUGAACCAUGAUUAACGGAUGAACGUGGUUAUUAAAACCAAUGAACCAUGAUUAUUGGAACCACCUUUUAUUCUUCAAGCUGCCAUUAUAGGGUCCUGCCACUGUCUGAAUCAUCAGCGAUUGUGCCUCUAUUAUAAAAGUUGCCAUCACCAUACUAAUUUCUGCCUCUUUCUCUUCAAUUUUGAGGAUUUUAAGUUGUGUGGCUAUCAUUGCAGUUGUAAUUCUAUUCUACUUUUGCCGUUGUUUUCAUGCAAUAGAAGGGAGUGGAUUUAGCUCUUUCCAAUCUUCGAUCUUUCGAUAAAAGGUCUUACUAUAGUUUCUUCUUAACUCCAGUGAUAUGGCUAUUGCAUGUUUAGAGCUCUAGCAUGCUUGCAUAAACAGGGUGUGGUGCACAGAGAUAUUAAGCCCGGAAACUUCCUCUUCUCUCAGAAGCUAAGCAAAGGUUACCUGAUUGAUUUCAACCAUGUUUGGAGGCCUUUUAACUACUGGUAUACUCGCAUUCUCGGGGACGUUUUAAAUUGCAAGACCAGGUAUAGGUAGUCUACUGGUCUUCGCUAAAUUGCAAGACCAGGUAGCAAGGUGAAAAGCUUACCUGCUGUGCGAUGUCGUUUCCGCGUUGUUCCCCAUGAGCGUGGUGAGUGUUCUUGGAACUUCUGGACUGUACAUGUCAGGAUCAUAUGUUGAGCAAAAGACCUUAGCCACAGAGUUUCAGAUG